CUACGUGCCAGCAGCCGCGGUAAUACGGAAGGUCCAGGCGUUAUCCGGAUUUAUUGGGUUUAAAGGGAGCGUAGGCCGUGGAUUAAGCGUGUUGUGAAAUGUAGACGCUCAACGUCUGAAUUGCAGCGCGAACUGGUUCACUUGAGUAUGCACAACGUUGGCGGAAUUCGUCGUGUAGCGGUGAAAUGCUUAGAUAUGACGAAGAACUCCGAUUGCGAAGGCAGCUGACGGGAGCGCAACUGACGCUGAAGCUCGAAGGUGCGGGUAUCGAACAGGAUUAGAUACCCUGGUAGUCCGCACAGUAAACGAUGGAUGCCCGCUGUUGGUACCUGGUAUCAGCGGCUAAGCGAAAGCAUUAAGCAUCCCACCUGGGGAGUACGCCGGCAACGGUGAAACUCAAAGGAAUUGACGGGGGCCCGCACAAGCGGAGGAACAUGUGGUUUAAUUCGAUGAUACGCGAGGAACCUUACCCGGGCUUGAAUUGCAGAGGAAGGAUUUAGAGAUA
RNAcentral lists this ribosomal RNA (505 nucleotides) under uncultured bacterium. Its description in RNAcentral is "bacterial SSU rRNA". It matches the Rfam family "Bacterial small subunit ribosomal RNA", at positions 501 to 1008 of the family's 1533-position model. The record is from RNAcentral.